Long non-coding RNA from Erigeron canadensis, 2809 nucleotides. RefSeq lists it as uncharacterized. The record is from RefSeq and is a predicted model, not a curated record. The transcript has 6 exons. Lineage: Eukaryota; Viridiplantae; Streptophyta; Magnoliopsida; Asterales; Asteraceae.
AGUUUACUCUAUCCUUCCAUCCAUCUGCUUCUUUCUUUGUUAAUGAGAUUCAAAAUUUCAGAUUCAUCAUCAUCACUCUUUACAUGAGAUGCAAACUUUCAUGAUUCAUCAUCGAUUCAUCAUCAUCAACAAUUAUUGAUCUAAAGACGGUGAUAGAAGAAGCCAUAUAUGGAAGAGGCAGGGACAUGAAUCAGAAGAUUGGAACUGUAUGUGAUACAUCUACCGUCAAAUUAUUCAAUGACGCGUAUUAUUUGGUGACUUAGUUAUCUCCGGAGGAAACCGAAAGCAUGACUGGUGGAUACGCAAUGGCUAUAAGUCAUGUAGUUAUCGAGUUAAAAACGGUUAAAGGAACAGAUUCGAGAAACCAAGGCUAUAUUCGAUCUCCCUUAAACUAAUUGUGGGACUUUAGCUUAAACUAAAGUUGUCUCGACCAAAGUAAUCAGGUUUCAUUCCACGAGUUAAAUGAUUAUUAGUUGUAUUUUUAGCCAAAUCAAACAUGUAUACAAAUUCAGUACAUACUAUGCUUGCAACCCCUUUGCCUAAUUCCCAUAUUGUGUGUGAUUUGAAAGGUCUUUUUGCUAAUAUUAAUCGUGUUUUGUAAUACCAGAUUAGUCUUAAAUGAGGGAGAUCCUGGGGACCCAAGCCCAAUCAUGUGACCAGGAGUGGUCAAAAGUUUAUUUUCUCAAGCUAUAGACAUGGAGAUUGAGAAGGCAACAUCCAACAUCUACCCACCUCAGAGAAGAUUUAGUUUGCAUUUGAACUGGGCAAGCUUUCUAUUUCUUUUUCAGUUUUUUGUCCACAUAGACCGCAUAUGAGAGCUCAACUCAUAAGCUCAAGGAUGCUCAUCAAGCUGGUCAUAACCAAAGCUUGGAGGGUGGCAUACAUGGCAGAUAUUAUGUUGUUGAAGUAUUAAAACAGGUGGUACUAAACAAAAUGAGUGUUAAUAAUUUAUUUAUUUAUUUAUUGGCUUUUUAAGCUUUCUCCAUUACGUCUGGUAUUCAGAUUUAGAGAUUGUCGAGUCGAGUUCGAUACAUGUACAGAUUGCUCAUGAUCCUUAUUUUAAGUUAUUUGAUUGGCCCGUUUAUAUUUUUCACUUUGGUCGGUUGGCCCGUUUUACUGUCAAAAUUGGAAAGUGUUGAGUUGGAGGUAUCCCAUAUUUAAGUUAUUUGAUUCUAAAAGUUUGGAGCAAAAUCACAACCGUUUGAAGGUCAUGGGUAUCAUUUGGUAGUAUAUUUUGGGUUAUUUGGCCCGCUUAACCAUUUUGUACCAAAAUAGGAUCAUUAGACGGGCAUUGUAGCAAAAUCUCAGCUUUUUAACCAAACCAUGCAUCAACAAAAUGACUUUCAAAGGAUCCUUAGACGGGCAUUGUUGCAGGGUGCAACAAGGGUUCAAUACAUGAGUUGAUUAAUGCAGCUUUAGACUUUCUAGCGACUUAUGUGGUAAUGUUUACGAAUUACCAGUACUUCAUAUCUUAUGACCCAAAUACGGGCUCUGGUCUUAAGGUUAUAUACUUUCUAGUGCCGGCUCUGGUCUUAAGUUAUAUACUUUUAGUCAUAGUGGCAUUAAGCUUUUUCCCAUUUGUAAAAAAGAUAACCUGGAAAUUUAUUACUCAUCUGUGUUGGGUAUGGGCUGAUUUUGUUGUUGAACAAGGUUUGACUUUAUGAAACAAUGGUUUUAGAAUUUGAUCAUUAGUGUUUGCGUACCCAAGUUACCCGAACCAAAACUCUCAAUGUCUUUUGAUUGAAUCUGAAGAUGAGGAAAUUUUAGUAAAUAUAUCUCAUAACUAUAAACAUUAUAAUUUAAUGAUUAUAAUGGGGUUGCUUAAAGUAGUUUGGGGUAUAUGAAAAGUGUAGAAAAUGGAUUUCUUUUGCUCGGGUCUUUUGUUUCAGUUAGGAUCUACAGUUAGUACUUGAAGGAAAUCUUGUCAUUGCCAAGAUAUGUUCAUGAAUAUAUGUUGGUGACCCUGACCAAUAUGUUCACCAUUGGAAGAAGGAUAGAAGUUCGUGACUACAUAUUAGUUAAGGUUGAUUAAUUAUUUUAGUUUUAUUAAUUCACCAACAGAACACAAAGAAGAUAGAAAAGUUUAGGGGCAUUGAAGAUCUAUUGGAAGUUGCAAAGUUUAGUGAUCAUUUCCGCUGGUAUGAUACAGGUAGUAAUGAUUAAUCUAUAUUCACGUGUUCGCCUCUAAACUUAGGAACGUAACUAAGAAAGGUUACCUGCUGAUAGUGUAAACGUAUAUUGAACCCAAAAUAUGAUAAAGUUGUGUGUAGCGUAAACAUGUGAGGUUAUUGAUUACUUAAUUGACAGUGUUCGUGCAUUUAUGUUAGAUUGCUCGCAUAUCUACUGUGGGUGGUCCACAUUGUUCUGUAGCAAAAGCUGCUUUUAUAUGUCUUUGUGAUGAACAUGGAAAUUCUUAAAGACAUUUGAUAUUCAAGGAAAUGGCAAGGAGCCUGAGAGGUUAUGUAUUUGUUUAUCUCUCUUUGUCAUGUUAUGCCUUAUGAUGGGAAAUUGGGGAUUAGCAUGUUGAGUUAGUAAAAUAUCCUUUAGAAUUGCUCAAGGAGUCAAGCAGCGGAUCAGAAGGCUCAGUGAAAAGGUGAUGAUGAGUUAAUGACGUUGCCAAAAAAAAAACAAGGAUUUAUGAUGCAUAGUUUGUUAUUAGAAAGAAAAUUUUUAUGCUUAAAGAAAUUGUUAAGUGGUUGUUUACUCUUCUUAUUUUUUGGCAAGGCAUGUGGCUACCUCAUGUGUUAUUAUUGUACUCGUGUUACAGUAAAUCUUCAAUUUGCAACAAUUUGAAUAAUUUGACUUUUUA